CAGACGGGAGGCAGCAGGGAGGAAUAUGGGACAAUGGGAGGGAGAAGGAAAAAGCGAAGGAGAGGGAGGGAAGACGGUCCUAUGGAUUGUAAACCUCUUUUAUAUGGGAAUAAAGUGAGGAACGUGUUCCUUUUUGUAUGUACCAUAUGAAUAAGCAUCGGCUAACUCCGUGCCAGCAGCCGCGGUAAUACGGAGGAUGCGAGCGUUAUCCGGAUUUAUUGGGUUUAAAGGGUGCGUAGGUGGUUAAUUAAGUCAGCGGUGAAAGUUUGUGGCUCAACCAUAAAAUUGCCGUUGAAACUGGUUGACUUGAGUAUAUUUGAGGUAGGCGGAAUGCGUGGUGUAGCGGUGAAAUGCAUAGAUAUCACGCAGAACUCCGAUUGCGAAGGCAGCUUACUAAACUAUAACUGACACUGAAGCACGAAAGCGUGGGGAUCAAACAGGAUUAGAUACCCUUGUAGUC
RNAcentral lists this ribosomal RNA (460 nucleotides) under uncultured bacterium. Its description in RNAcentral is "partial 16S ribosomal RNA". It matches the Rfam family "Bacterial small subunit ribosomal RNA", at positions 338 to 795 of the family's 1533-position model. The record is from RNAcentral.